UGUUUCGGUGCGGGCUGCGAGAGCGGUACCAAAUCGAGACAAACUCUGAAUACCAAACCCGUACUCGGCCAGUCAGACGGUGGGGGAUAAGCUCCAUCGUCGAGAGGGAAACAGCCCAGACCACCAGCUAAGGUCCCCAAAUGACUGCUAAGUGAUAAAGGAGGUGAGAGUGCACUGACAACCAGGAGGUUUGCCUAGAAGCAGCCACCCUUGAAAGAGUGCGUAAUAGCUCACUGGUCAAGCGCUCUUGCGCCGAAAAUGAACGGGGCUAAGCAGUCUACCGAAGCUGUGGAAUAUGAAUAAUAUUGGUAGGGGAGCGUUCCGCAACGGUGUGAAGCACUAGCGACAAGCAGGUGUGGACUGUGCGGAAGUGAGAAUGUCGGCUUGAGUAGCGCAAAUGUAGGUGAGAAUCCUACACCCCGAAACCCUAAGGGUUCCAGAGCCAGGCUCGUCCGCUCUGGGUGAGUCAGGUCCUAAGGCGAGGCCAAACGGCGUAGUCGAUGGAUAACGGGUUAACAUUCCCGUACCGAUAAUUGUUGGUGCAGAGGGACGGAGAAGGCAAUCGCCAGCCGGAUGUUGGUUACCGGUUUAAGUAUUCGAGGUGUUGAGAGACGGUGAAAACGUCUUGAGCUGAGGUACGAGUACGACCUCCUACGGGAGGGAAGUGGUAGAUGUCAUGCUUCCUAGAAAAGCUCUAAACACCAUAAACAGUUAUUGCCUGUACCCGAAACCGACACAGGUAGGGAGGUUGAGUAAACCAAGGGGCGCGAGAUAACUCUCUCUAAGGAACUCGGCAAAAUUGCCCCGUAACU
This 812-nucleotide ribosomal RNA is filed under the name Oscillatoria lutea SAG 1459-3. RNAcentral's name for it is "bacterial LSU rRNA". It matches the Rfam family "Bacterial large subunit ribosomal RNA", at positions 911 to 1735 of the family's 2925-position model. The record is from RNAcentral. Lineage: Bacteria; Bacillati; Cyanobacteriota; Cyanophyceae; Oscillatoriales; Oscillatoriaceae.